RNAcentral lists this ribosomal RNA (274 nucleotides) under uncultured bacterium. Its description in RNAcentral is "partial 16S ribosomal RNA". It matches the Rfam family "Archaeal small subunit ribosomal RNA", at positions 473 to 747 of the family's 1478-position model. The record is from RNAcentral.
AAACCAGCACCUCAAGUGGUCAGGAGGAUUAUUGGGCCUAAAGCAUCCGUAGCCUGUUCUGUAAGUUUUCGGUUAAAUCCAUUAGCUCAACUAAUGGGCCGCCGAAAAUACUGUAGAACUAGGGAGUGGGAGAGGUAGACGGUACUCCGUAGGAAGGGGUAAAAUCCUUUGAUCUAUGGAUGACCACCUGUGGCGAAGGCGGUCUACCAGAACACGUUCGACGGUGAGGGAUGAAAGCUGGGGGAGCAAACCGGAUUAGAAACCCGGGUAGUCC